CUAAAAUCAUUUUCUUCGAUUUUGAUGUUCAGUUUAAUAUUACCAGCUGGUUAGGCUACUCAGCUUUAAAAAUGUAAUUUUACUCAAAUCAUCAUUCAAUUCUCCGCAGGAUUUGCUGAUUUUAUGAUACAUCCUUCCUCAAUUGAUUGCAUAAUAAGGUUACAACUAAAAAGGUCAACCAAAAAAAUAUAUUUGCUAUACUUAAUGAUAUCUGUAAAUCCAUUUAAUCAACUCUUUUUAAUAAAAGUUUCAUAAAUUUCUUAGUUUGCACUUAAACACCCAUUGGUCAACAGAAGGAUGUUUGAAAACAUCGAUAUCAU
This 320-nucleotide long non-coding RNA is filed under the name Drosophila guanche. Lineage: Eukaryota; Metazoa; Arthropoda; Insecta; Diptera; Drosophilidae. The record is from RNAcentral.